RNAcentral lists this ribosomal RNA (253 nucleotides) under uncultured bacterium. Its description in RNAcentral is "partial 16S ribosomal RNA". It matches the Rfam family "Bacterial small subunit ribosomal RNA", at positions 524 to 776 of the family's 1533-position model. The record is from RNAcentral.
GACGGAGGAUGCAAGUGUUAUCCGGAAUCACUGGGCGUAAAGCGUCUGCAGGUGGUUUCUUAAGUCCACUGUUAAACCUUGAGGCUCAACCUCAAAUCAGCAUUGGAAACUGGGAAACUUGAGUAUAGUAGGGGUAGAGGGAAUUUCCAGUGGAGCGGUGAAAUGCGUAGAUAUUGGAAAGAACACCGAUGGCGAAGGCACUCUACUGGGCUAUUACUGACACUCAGAGACGAAAGCUAGGGGAGCAAAUGGG